CAUGCUCCCGGCGCGCAGCUCCCGACGCGGCGCUCGGCUGUGCUCGGGCAUUUCCGCCUCUUUGUUUUAAACUCCGGACGGCUUUUUUCUCCGGCUCCGGGGGGACCCCGAGGGAGCGGCGUCCCCUCCCCGCCCCGCGCGGCCCCGCGAGCGCACGAGCCCCCGCCGCCCACAGGCUCCAGGAUGUAGCGGGCGCCCAGCUGCUAUGCCCAGACAAUGGACAGAGGACACGGGGCACCGGGACGGCGUAGACGGGCAGAGCCAGCACGGAGGGAGCUGGCUGGCCAGGAAUCUUAGAGUCGGGAGCAUUGCCUAAUGUGCCCAAUGCCAAGGUGGAAACCGGGAGAAGAGACUUCUAGGGGAGAAGCCAAAGAUGUUGACCAGAAAGAUUAAACUCUGGGAUAUAAACGCCCACAUCACCUGCCGCCUGUGCAGCGGUUAUCUCAUCGACGCCACCACCGUGACCGAGUGUCUGCACACGUUUUGUCGGAGCUGCCUGGUCAAGUACCUGGAGGAGAACAACACCUGCCCCACCUGCAGAAUCGUCAUCCACCAGAGCCACCCACUGCAGUACAUUGGCCAUGACAGGACCAUGCAAGACAUCGUCUACAAGCUGGUUCCAGGCCUCCAGGAAGCGGAAAUGAGGAAGCAGAGGGAAUUCUACCACAAGCUGGGCAUGGAGGUGCCAGGAGACAUCAAGGGGGAGAUGUGCUCUGCAAAGCAGCACCUGGACUCCCAUCGGAAUGGUGAAACCAAAGCUGAUGACAGUUGGAACAAAGAGGCAGCGGAGGAAAAGCAGGAAGAGGACAAUGACUACCACAGGAGUGACGAGCAGGUCAGCAUCUGCCUGGAGUGCAACAGCAGCAAGCUGCGGGGCCUGAAACGCAAGUGGAUCCGCUGCUCGGCCCAGGCCACCGUCCUGCACCUGAAGAAGUUCAUCGCCAAAAAGCUCAACCUCUCGUCCUUCAAUGAGAGGGAAAGGGAUGGGCGGGGGACAGGACACACACACUGCCCAGGGACAGACUGGGGCACACAUGCUGAGCCUUGGGGACAGACGGCCCUGGGGAUGGAGUAUACACAUAAGCUGGACAUUCUUUGCAACGAGGAGAUCCUGGGCAAGGACCACACGCUCAAGUUUGUGGUCGUCACCAGGUGGAGAUUCAAGAAGGCGCCUCUCCUGCUACACUACAGACCCAAGAUGGACUUGCUGUGAGGCCAGCACUCUGCACGCAGCACCCAUGCCAGGCCGGGCGGGCUCGCGCCCACACCCUGGUGCCCGGGUGUCGGUGGACAUUUCUGAAUAGAGAAUAUUUAUAACUUUUGUACAAGAGGACUCAGCACCAGACACGACCAGCACCGCAGCCCCACUGACUUCUGCUCGCUUUCCAGCUGAGAAGCUGGGCCUUUGCAGUUCAGUUCAUGAAUUGAGUUUCAAGACGACACGCGGAAACACUUAACGACAAGAUGGCUGCGGGGCUAAGUUCUGGGAGAGAGUCGGCGAAGGCCACAUUGUCCUUGGAAGUGUGACACCGAACAUUGAUAGUGCAGAAUCCCAGCUUCUCAAUUUCCUCAGGAAGUCAUCCACACCCACGUCACGCGUGACCUUAGCAUGGCAAACCCGUGUCUGUCUGCAUGGCGUGUGAAGUGACAGGCCAGGGUGAGGCGGUCACAGAGCCACCUCCAGACCGCCCGUCACCUCACAGAGCGUGCCCCCCAGCGGGCACAGCCCCGGGACCCGGGAGUCCAGAAAGCCCGGCCCCAUCACGCUGCCCCUCAGGACGCCGGGCGGUUGAGCUCCUGGGGCUCCCUGGCUGUGCAGGUGCAGCAGACGCAUAUUUUUGACCAUUUUGUUUGAAAGUUUACAUUUUUUAUGCUUCGUGUUGCUGUGUACUUUUUGUACUAUUGGUGGCUAGUUUUUGUCUCAGAUCUUUUCUGGAAUAUUGCUUAAAUGUUUUGAUUUUGAUAGUGAAGCUUGUAUUCAGUGUUUUGCCAAUUACUAUUAUAUGCUUGUAAUAAAAGCAAAAGAAAAACAGAAA
Molecule: RNA transcript, 2036 nt
Organism: Erinaceus europaeus (western European hedgehog)
Lineage: Eukaryota; Metazoa; Chordata; Mammalia; Eulipotyphla; Erinaceidae
Gene: PCGF3
Gene name: polycomb group ring finger 3
Exons: 13
Source: RefSeq, a predicted model, not a curated record